GCCAGCCAGCUAGACAGCAUCCAUUAUCGUGUGCCAGAAAGAGCCGUAGCAAACAUUUAACGAAUUUCAUAGACGACGGUUGUGUGCAGUGUUGUAAGAUAAUCGACUUCUUUGGAUAACACACAGAAUAUAACAAAAAAAAAUAAAGCAAAAAAAAAAAAAACAUCUAGAAAAAAUUGUAUAUUCCCCAUAAUUUUUGAGUGUGGAGAGAAGAAAUCAAAUCAAAUCACAUAGCAUGAAAACCAAUUUCAAUUUUUAAUAACAAAAAAAGAAAAAAAAAGAAAUCGAUCCAUAAACGCGACACGGCAAAAUUUCCAUUCCAAAAAAUAAAAAAAAUAUCAUCUGAAAAAAUAAAAUGUCUAAAGAAAUAAUUUAUUAAAACCACAAGUAGAAAAAAACGAAACGAAAAAAAUAAGAAAACUGCUACGAAAACCGAACCGAACGACCGAUAUCCUAGCAAAAAUUCAGCGAGUUGAAAGGUAGAACAAAAUAUUGCAUUUCGUAUCGCGGCUUAGAAAGAUAACCACAAAAAUACCGACAAAAACAACAGCAGCAACAAAAAGAAGUAAAAAAAAUCACUGAAAACUAAAACUUCGACAAUUUCGAAAUAGGAAAAACAAAACCCAACCCAAACUGAAACUAAAACUUACACUCACUCAUCACUAAUUAAACGGAAACCCCAAGAAAACCCUCAGAAGUAAAAACAACAACAAAAAUCAAGAAAACUAAACGAAAAAUAGAACGAGAACGUAGCAAAAAAAAAAAAAGAGAGAAACCCGCUAAACUAAAUUAUCCAACUUCUAAAGUGUUUCGUUUAAAUAUACCUCAAGUCAUCCCAACAACUGAUAUUUACUAAUACUCACUCACGCCCGUACUCGCCAAGUCACUUGCAAACGAUAACAAACCAGAAGACGAAAGGAGAAGCAACAACAACAACAGCAGUAG
Musca domestica (house fly) is the source of this 945-nucleotide long non-coding RNA. RefSeq lists it as uncharacterized. The record is from RefSeq and is a predicted model, not a curated record. NCBI's taxonomy places the organism in Eukaryota, Metazoa, Arthropoda, Insecta, Diptera, Muscidae. The transcript is spliced from 2 exons.